RNAcentral lists this small nuclear RNA (165 nucleotides) under Microtus ochrogaster (prairie vole). RNAcentral's name for it is "U1 spliceosomal RNA (ENSMOCG00000004026.1)". It matches the Rfam family "U1 spliceosomal RNA". Rfam says of the family: U1 is a small nuclear RNA (snRNA) component of the spliceosome (involved in pre-mRNA splicing). Its 5' end forms complementary base pairs with the 5' splice junction, thus defining the 5' donor site of an intron. Lineage: Eukaryota; Metazoa; Chordata; Mammalia; Rodentia; Cricetidae. The record is from RNAcentral.
AUACUUACCUGGCAGGGGAGACACCAUGAUCACUUAGUUGGUGUUCCCAGGGCGAGGCUCACCCAUUGCACUUGGGGAUGUGUUGACCUCUGUGAUUUCCCCAAAUGCAGGAAACUCGACUGCAUAAUUUCUGUUAGUGGGGGACUGCGUUCGCGCUCUCCCCUA